CGGGUGAGUAACACGUAUGCAACCUGCCUGCCACAGCCGGAUAAUCGGGAGAAAUUCCGUCUAAUACGGCAUAAUACAUCGACGGGACAUCCUGUUGGUGCCAAAGGUUGAUUCCGGUGGCGGAUGGGCAUGCGUCGCAUUAGUUAGUUGGCGGUGUAACGGACCACCAAGACGACGAUGCGUAGGGGUUCUGAGAGGAAGGCCCCCCACACUGGUACUGAGACACGGACCAGACUCCUACGGGAGGCAGCAG
RNAcentral lists this ribosomal RNA (253 nucleotides) under uncultured bacterium. RNAcentral's name for it is "partial 16S ribosomal RNA". It matches the Rfam family "Bacterial small subunit ribosomal RNA", at positions 103 to 354 of the family's 1533-position model. The record is from RNAcentral.